GUAACGCGUGAGAAUCUGCCCUUAGGAGGGGGACAACAGUUGGAAACGACUGCUAAUACCCCAUAUGGCGAGAGCUGAAACUAAUUGGCCUAAGGAUGAGCUCGCGACUGAUUAGCUAGUUGGUGGGGUAAGAGCCUACCAAGGCGACGAUCAGUAGCUGGUCUGAGAGGAUGAUCAGCCACACUGGGACUGAGACACGGCCCAGACUCCUACGGGAGGCAGCAGUGGGGAAUUUUCCGCAAUGGGCGAAAGCCUGACGGAGCAACGCCGCGUGCGGGAGGACGGCCUGUGGGUUGUAAACCGCUUUUCUCAGGGAAGAACACAAUGACGGUACCUGAGGAAUCAGCAUCGGCUAACUCCGUGCCAGCAGCCGCGGUAAUACGGGGGAUGCAAGCGUUAUCCGGAAUUAUUGGGCGUAAAGCGUCCGUAGGCGGUUGAGCAAGUCUGCUGUUAAAUCGCGGAGCUUAACUCCGAACAUGCAGUGGAAACUGUUCAACUAGAGUGCGGUAGGGGUUGAGGGAAUUCCCAGUGUAGCGGUGAAAUGCGUAGAUAUUGGGAAGAACACCAGUGGCGAAGGCGCUCAACUGGCCCGCAAACUGACG
RNAcentral lists this ribosomal RNA (602 nucleotides) under Synechococcales cyanobacterium LEGE 10405. Its description in RNAcentral is "bacterial SSU rRNA". It matches the Rfam family "Bacterial small subunit ribosomal RNA", at positions 110 to 745 of the family's 1533-position model. Lineage: Bacteria; Bacillati; Cyanobacteriota; Cyanophyceae; Synechococcales. The record is from RNAcentral.